This 253-nucleotide ribosomal RNA is filed under the name uncultured bacterium. RNAcentral describes it as "partial 16S ribosomal RNA". It matches the Rfam family "Bacterial small subunit ribosomal RNA", at positions 524 to 776 of the family's 1533-position model. The record is from RNAcentral.
UACGUAGGGUGCAAGCGUUAAUCGGAAUUACUGGGCGUAAAGCGUGCGCAGGCGGUGAUGUAAGACAGAUGUGAAAUCCCCGGGCUCAACCUGGGAACUGCAUUUGUGACUGCAUCGCUGGAGUACGGCAGAGGGGGAUGGAAUUCCGCGUGUAGCAGUGAAAUGCGUAGAUAUGCGGAGGAACACCGAUGGCGAAGGCAAUCCCCUGGGCCUGUACUGACGCUGAGGAGCGAAAGCAUGGGGAGCGAACAGG